This 477-nucleotide ribosomal RNA is filed under the name uncultured organism. RNAcentral describes it as "partial 16S ribosomal RNA". It matches the Rfam family "Bacterial small subunit ribosomal RNA", at positions 330 to 799 of the family's 1533-position model. The record is from RNAcentral.
CGUACACUCCUACGGGAGGCAGCAGUGGGGAAUAUUGCACAAUGGGCGCAAGCCUGAUGCAGCCAUGCCGCGUGUAUGAAGAAGGCCUUCGGGUUGUAAAGUACUUUCAGCGGGGAGGAAGGCAAUACGGUUAAUAACCGUGUUGAUUGACGUUACCCGCAGAAGAAGCACCGGCUAACUCCGUGCCAGCAGCCGCGGUAAUACGGAGGGUGCAAGCGUUAAUCGGAAUUACUGGGCGUAAAGCGCACGCAGGCGGUCUGUCAAGUCGGAUGUGAAAUCCCCGGGCUCAACCUGGGAACUGCAUUCGAAACUGGCAGGCUUGAGUCUUGUAGAGGGGGGUAGAAUUCCAGGUGUAGCGGUGAAAUGCGUAGAGAUCUGGAGGAAUACCGGUGGCGAAGGCGGCCCCCUGGACAAAGACUGACGCUCAGGUGCGAAAGCUUGGGGAGCAAACAGGAUUAGAUACCCGAGUAGUCCCAU